RNAcentral lists this ribosomal RNA (442 nucleotides) under uncultured bacterium. RNAcentral's name for it is "partial 16S ribosomal RNA". It matches the Rfam family "Bacterial small subunit ribosomal RNA", at positions 338 to 795 of the family's 1533-position model. The record is from RNAcentral.
CCUACGGGAGGCUGCAGUGGGGAAUAUUGGGCAAUGGGCGCACGCCUGACCCAGCAACGCCGCGUGAAGGAAGAAGGCUUUCGGGUUGUAAACUUCUUUUGUCAGGGAAGAGUAGAAGACGGUACCUUACGAAUAAGCCACGGCUAACUACGUGCCAGCAGCCGCGGUACUACGUAGGUGGCACGCGUUGUCCGGAUUUACUGGGUGUAAAGGGCGUGUAGGCGGGUUGACAAGUCAGAUGUGAAAUCCUGAGGCUUAACCGCAGAACUGCAUUUGAAACUGUUGAUCUUGAGUACUGGAGGGGCAGACGGAAUUCCUAGUGUAGCGGUGAAAUGCGUAGAUAUUAGGAGGAACACCAGUGGCGAAGGCGGUCUGCUGGACAGCAACUGACGGUGAGGCGCGAAAGCGUGGGGAGCAAACAGGAUUAGAUACCCCUGUAGUC